This 77-nucleotide transfer RNA is filed under the name Dactylosporangium siamense. RNAcentral describes it as "tRNA-Arg". It matches the Rfam family "tRNA". From Rfam's summary of the family: Transfer RNA (tRNA) molecules are approximately 80 nucleotides in length. Their secondary structure includes four short double-helical elements and three loops (D, anti-codon, and T loops). The record is from RNAcentral. Lineage: Bacteria; Bacillati; Actinomycetota; Actinomycetes; Micromonosporales; Micromonosporaceae. RNAcentral also lists the same sequence under 1 other name.
CAGGGCCGUAGCGCAGAGGUGGUCGCGUCCGUCUCCGGAACGGAAGAACGCCGGUUCGAAUCCGGUCGGCACUGCCC